This 176-nucleotide non-coding RNA is filed under the name Nitrospinota bacterium. Its description in RNAcentral is "6S RNA". It matches the Rfam family "6S / SsrS RNA". From Rfam's summary of the family: E. coli 6S RNA was the first non coding RNA to be sequenced, but its function was unknown until recently. It consists of 184 nucleotides that fold into an extended hairpin structure with a large single-stranded internal bulge. The record is from RNAcentral. Lineage: Bacteria; Pseudomonadati; Nitrospinota.
GCUUCCCUGUGGUGCUCGAGUAUAACAUCAAUUCUUGAGCCAACAUGUAAUAAAGGGGUCGAAACUAGCUGUGGUGAGCAUGCCUCCUCGGAGGAAGCCUAAAACAGUAUACGGAGAUCCCACCUGUCCUUGGCAGGUUCAAAAAAUGAUUUUUGCACGGCAUUCGCGGGGAAGCA